GUUGGAGAUUUGGGAUCGGAUGUUGCGCCAAGAGCGAGGGACCAAGGUGCUGAACUAACAGCAGGGGGGAGGGUGAUUCUUCAGGUACCAACAUAGCUGUCGACUAGAGAAUUUAGUUAACCGUUUGCUUUACUUGAAGCUCCAAAUUGUAGUUAUUUUAUUCGUUCACUAAUUUGGUAUAAUCCUAAUAUAGGAGGAUUAUGAUUGUAUGAUAUGAGAUCCUGACAUUUAGCAAUAAUAAAAGUCUGACACUGAAUGGUUCUUCUCGGAAGUACAGUUGUAAGAUCUAUGAUUCUAUCUUCGACCUUUAACUGGACAGUACUAAUUGGACAUAUAAUUGAUUAUUUAUGCACAACAAGAUAUUCUGUUUGUUUUAGUUUUUCAAUCAGAAUCAUCUAGCCCUUUGUUGACUUUCUAAUUGUUCCACGCUCUACCUCUGAAACUCAGAAAUCAGAUAAAGGUCAUUCGCAUAUCCCUAUCUCUGACGAAAAUUUGCUAGCGAGGAAGAGGACCAGAAUGUUUUUUCUAUUGUUGGGGAUAUACAUAAUACAUAUAGAUAAAUUUAGACCAUUUAUAACAGAUAUUUCUUGCCAAAAAUAUUAACUCUGUCCAGCAGUGGGCACUGUCAAGGUAAUAACAGGAAUUUGCUGAACCUAAUUGAAAGAAAGAGGGAUGGUAAUCCGAUUGAGAACAUUCUCUAACUAAAAUAGACUUACGAACAAUCAACAAUAUCAAAUUGUUUGAUUAAAAUACUGAUUUAAGAAUUUGGCGAAUCUAUAAUUCUCUACAUAAUCACUUGGUGCAUUGUUAGACCACUUGGGGACAAUAUCAUCAAUUUCUUGCAUACUGCAAUAAUGCAAGUUUAAAAAGCCAGUUUCUUAUGUUUCUUAUUAUCUCUGUGUUCAGCUAACUGCCAAGAAUCAUAUAAGGAUGCAUCUAAUGAGGUAGAUUUUGUUUAUGCAUUUUUUAAGUGUAGGGAUGCUGUAUCUGAUUAACAAAACAUUGUUCAACCUUCUAUGAGUCCACCUAGGGAGCUGCAUAAAUUUGGAACAACUUCCAGAACAGGCAUCCAAGCAUUUUGGUCUGCUACCAGUAAGCUGCCAGUGCAAGAUAGCUGGGAGUCUGGGAUGUCGAGUCGUCGAGCCGUCCAAUGCCAAGUUCGCCAGCGGAAGGAGAACAUCUGUCAAGCCGUCCGUCGCCUGAGGCGGCUACACCAGAGGUAUGUCUCCUCUUGAAAGUUAAUCGCCUGAGCUGUCCAUCGCCUGAGCCAUCCAUCGCCUGAGCCCCUGUUUCAGUUUAUUUUUUCCACCUCGCUGCUCAACAGGUCCGUGGGUUACUACUCCUUUGCUCUUGCUGGUGACCGGCCUCAAGAGUAGCACUUGCUUGAGAUCUGAUCUAGAACUGAAUUGUGCCCUGCUUUGCUGUGGUCAUAUGCUCUGCGUCCACCGAUGAGUUUCAGAUACAGAUUAGGACCAAAAUUGGAGUAGGUUCAGUCACGCAAAUGUUGUAUCACUUUGUCAUGGGUAUUGUGCUGCUGAAUUGCUUGUUGGACUGUUCAAACUAAAGUCGUCCAGUCAGUUUGCUACAAUGUCCAUUUGUUUACUUUGGAAGUUCUGUAGAAUUUGGGCCUGGUCACUUUCGAAUUGUCUGUGGUUUGUGAUUAAUCUUUCCGAGAUGUUAGAGAGUGGGUCCAAUGAUGGAUCUGCCCAUCAGUGUGCAGAGGAUCUUCUAAUUCCUGCAGCUAAUCUUGAUUCAUGGAUAUUGUGUUUGCUCUGUGACGCACUAUGUUUCAGUUUAUUUUUUCUGAAAAAUUGGCGCUACUUCUGAUUGCUCACAAUUUAAGUUUUGCUGAUAUACACUGGAGGCAUUAAACCAACAACUUUCUCUGUUUUUUUAUGCAUGCUGCUACAAAUACAAGCACACUGCUUACAAACACACGGCUUCUGCUGGCUUGGCUAGCUUUGUACGUCCACUUUGCGCUACAAGUCGCCUUUCUACGAUGUCUUACAAUCUCAUAGUACAGACCGUGCUCCACCUGAGGUACGCCCGAUCUCAUGCCAAGCUAACUACGGUUCUGUCGUUUUGGAAAAGGCAUGAAC
This 2099-nucleotide long non-coding RNA is filed under the name Triticum aestivum (bread wheat). RNAcentral's name for it is "long non-coding RNA (TAES_LNC011756)". The record is from RNAcentral. Lineage: Eukaryota; Viridiplantae; Streptophyta; Magnoliopsida; Poales; Poaceae.